UCCGGAAUAGCUCAGUUGGGAGAGCGUUAGACUGAAGUUGUUUACGCAACAGUCAUCUAAAGCUCCCCCCCCCCCCGGUUCUAUCCCGGGUUCCGACA
RNAcentral lists this transfer RNA (98 nucleotides) under Dreissena polymorpha. It matches the Rfam family "tRNA". From Rfam's summary of the family: Transfer RNA (tRNA) molecules are approximately 80 nucleotides in length. Their secondary structure includes four short double-helical elements and three loops (D, anti-codon, and T loops). The record is from Rfam by way of RNAcentral. Lineage: Eukaryota; Metazoa; Mollusca; Bivalvia; Myida; Dreissenidae.